GUUUUAAUAAUUUAACUAAAAUAUUGAUUUUGUAAAUCAAAUAUAAGAUUUAGUCUUUUAAAACA
Molecule: transfer RNA, 65 nt
Filed under: Gastrophysa janthina
Lineage: Eukaryota; Metazoa; Arthropoda; Insecta; Coleoptera; Chrysomelidae
Description: tRNA-Thr
Source: RNAcentral